Molecule: long non-coding RNA, 1587 nt
Organism: Oncorhynchus nerka (sockeye salmon)
Lineage: Eukaryota; Metazoa; Chordata; Actinopteri; Salmoniformes; Salmonidae
Exons: 4
Source: RefSeq, a predicted model, not a curated record
UAAAGAAGAACAAGACAACAGCAAAUUGUUGACGCGGACAGCAGUUCAUAUCCUACAGAGACACAGUAGCUUCCACAAUGGAUCGGGACAAAGCUAGCCCGUCCCCCUCCACCCUCCAGGAGUCCCCAGGUCGACUGCCUCUCCGUACUUUAAUGCUGGUUCUGGUCGACUGCAGGAAAACACCGGGGCAGAGUGGAACUGAGAGACGAGAAGGAGAAGAGGAACAUGGAGAUAUGAUUUCAUUAAGCCCGAAGGCAAAAGUUCAAACUAUAGUGACAGACUGACACUGACCUGUAGCACCACCUGUACUCUGACUGACAACCCCACCAACAUCUGGUACAAGAACAGACGUCUCACCAACCCAAAUACCAAAAUAACUACCUAGACCCAGUCAGCAGUAAGGAUACAGACAGAUACUCCUGUUCUGUCAACAGCCAUGAGGAUCUCCUCUCUGCUGAAGAGACUCACUGUCACAUGGAGGGAGAUGCAACAACAGCCUUGAGAACAUCUGGACUCAAAUAGAACUCUGUUCCAAGUUGCUGUCAGGUAAAAGUAGACGAUAGCAGACAACAGGAUACUUUUGGAAAGGGGUGUUGUUGAACAUGUUCUUGACUUUACUCAAUCUGUAUAGUUUUGGUAAAAUCUUAUCGAGGAACUUUCUGAAAUAAGAUUAGCCUGGGACAGCAGGUAGCCUAGUGGUUAGACCGUUGGGCCAGUAACCGAAAGGCUGCUAAAUCGAAUCCCCGAGCCGACAAGGUAAACAACUUUAGUUCUGCCCUUGAACAAGGCAGUUAUCCCACUGUUCCUCUGCCGUCAUUGUAAAUAAAAAUGUGUUCUUAUCUGACUUGCCUAGUUGAAUAAAGAUGUGAGACGUUAUGCUGUCAUAAUGUAAUCAAGCUUGGAUAUUUCAAUAGAUGUUUGAUUGCUCUGGUCUAGGGGUGCAUCAGUUGCAGACUUGAGACAGGAAUUCUCCCCCUGCAACCCCCUAAUCCUUAUCUGAACUCUGUGAGAACAUAGUAACUGGACUGUAUGUAGCCUACCCAUUUCUUGUCUUAGUAAGAAACACUGAAGAAAACAAUAGCUUCCACGAUGGAUCCGGUAAGUCUGGUUUACUUUUAACAGUAUAGGCCUGCUGUGCUGUGCUUGGCUUUUGUUUAUUUAUUGUACUCAAGUUAUAUACAUAGACAGAAGGGUGUUAGUUAUAAAUACAGUAUAUUUGACUGUAGUUUAGUUAAGAAGAAAGACUUACACAGUGGUGUGAAGUACUUAAAUAAACAAUAUUUUAAAGUACUACAUAAUUCGUUUUUUGGGGUAUCUGUACUUUACUAUUUAUAUAUUUGAAAACUUUUACUUUACUACAUUCCUGUAGAAAAUGAUGUACUUUUUACUCCUUAAAUGUACUCGUUACAUUUUGAAUGCUUAGCAGGACCGGAAAAUGGUUCAAUUCACACACUUAUCAAGAGAACAUCCCUGGUCAUCCCUACUUCCUCUGAUCUAGCGGACUCACUAAAUACAAAUACUUUUUUGUAAAUUAUGUCUGAGUGUUGGAGUGUGCCCCUGCCUAUCAGUAAAUAAUUUAAAAAACAA